This 1122-nucleotide ribosomal RNA is filed under the name Triticum aestivum (bread wheat). Its description in RNAcentral is "partial small subunit ribosomal RNA". Lineage: Eukaryota; Viridiplantae; Streptophyta; Magnoliopsida; Poales; Poaceae. The record is from RNAcentral.
AUGCCCGCUGCUAAUCCACCACCCCUCCACCAGCCCAUACCGGCGGCGCUCCAUCCGGCGACGUCGGCCACCCCGCACUCCCUUCCUGCUGCUCUCCUUGUCGGCCUCCAACGCCCGUCCCAGCAGCUCCUCUGGGAGUUCCUUGCUUCUCAAGCCGCGGCGCCUGCGCCAACGGGUGCGCCCGAUCCAGAUCUGGAGUUUGGCACGCCGCCGCCACCUCCUCCGGGUCGGCCGCACCGCUCUGCUGACAAGGUUGAGGUGGUGCUGGAGACCCCUCCCGGCCUGCUCGUCCGCGCGGCACCCACACCUACCGGCUUCAAUGCGGCUGCUGCUGGCCACGGUGCCAUCCCGUCGAGCGUUAGUGAAGUUAAUGGAGGCCAUCCCUCGGGCUGGUUGGCUUGCUUUCGCCCACAACCUUUGCAGAGUGUCGCCGAGCAUUCAAGGCCGCGCAGCGCGGUGGCCUCGAAGCUCGAGGCAGAGGUGACCGCGCCAUGGGUGGAGGUCAAAUCACGGCGGCCACGCUCACCAGCCAAGCCAGUUGGGGCAUUCACUACGCGCGCUCCUCCUCCUGCGUGGAUAAACGGGUUGUGUUUCCACUGCCUUGGCCAUCGACACCGAGCCGUCGACUGCCGCAACCCCGUCACCUGCAGGCGUUGCUUCCGCUCGGGCCAUUGGGCGUGUGAGUGCUUCCACGCCCCGCGUCCCCACCUGCGUCCUGGUGCGCCUAGGCCGCACAAGGCGGCCUCCCCUCCACCACCCCGCGCUCCUCCGCCCCCGCCGCCUCCGCCUGCCCGGAUGGCGACCUCGGCCUGGUCUGGCGACCACUCGGUCCGCCCGGAGGUGUUCGCCACAGACCACAACACCCCCGCGAUGCAGCUGGAGAUGGCCCUCCUGGAGUCCAAUGCCGUCGUCGCCUGGUUCGAUCGGGACCGCCAUGUCUCCACCAGCGAGAUGGCGGCGUUCCUUGCCGACAAGAUUGGGGCUCUGCAGAUCGAUGUUGUCGUCGUCCUCCACCACCCAGAGAAGUACCUCGUGCGGUUCAUCCACAAGCACCACGCCGAGCUGGCCGUAUCUCGCCGUGUGCUGCCGUUCGGGGACACCAAGCUGCAGCUCCGGGCGUGA